AAGUAGCUUGCUACUUUUGCCGGCGAGUGGCGAACGGGUGAGUAAUGUAUCGGAACGUGCCCAGUAGCGGGGGAUAACUACGCGAAAGCGUGGCUAAUACCGCAUACGCCCUACGGGGGAAAGGGGGGGAUCUUAGGACCUCUCACUAUUGGAGCGGCCGAUAUCGGAUUAGCUAGUUGGUGGGGUAAAGGCCUACCAAGGCGACGAUCCGUAGCUGGUUUGAGAGGACGACCAGCCACACUGGGACUGAGACACGGCCCAGACUCCUACGGGAGGCAGCAGUGGGGAAUUUUGGACAAUGGGGGAAACCCUGAUCCAGCCAUCCCGCGUGUGCGAUGAAGGCCUUCGGGUUGUAAAGCACUUUUGUCAGGGAAGAAAAGGUUUCGGUUAAUACCUGAAACUGAUGACGGUACCUGAAGAAUAAGCACCGGCUAACUACGUGCCAGCAGCCGCGGUAAUACGUAGGGUGCAAGCGUUAAUCGGAAUUACUGGGCGUAAAGCGUGCGCAGGCGGUUCGGAAAGAAAGAUGUGAAAUCCCAGGGCUCAACCUUGGAACUGCAUUUUUAACUACCGGACUAGAGUAUGUCAGAGGGGGGUGGAAUUCCACGUGUAGCAGUGAAAUGCGUAGAUAUGUGGAGGAACACCGAUGGCGAAGGCAGCCCCCUGGGAUAAUACUGACG
Molecule: ribosomal RNA, 680 nt
Filed under: Advenella sp. C7
Lineage: Bacteria; Pseudomonadati; Pseudomonadota; Betaproteobacteria; Burkholderiales; Alcaligenaceae
Description: bacterial SSU rRNA
Rfam family: Bacterial small subunit ribosomal RNA
Source: RNAcentral